AGCAAGCUGUAAGAGGAGCCUUUAUUUUUUACCCCUCCUCCUAUAAAAAGCUUGUCUGACAAACAAGGACAUCUAAAUUGAGAAAACAGAAUACGCUUCAAAUAAAACUUUUAUUUACUCUGCUGGUUCUGAGCUACCUACAAUGGUUCAGUGGGGGGGAUGGAGAAAAAAAGUGCUUCAUGAGCAGAUGUGCAAUGAUAGCAGAGAGGAAGGAAAAAGCAGGGCAUAUCUGGUCAAAAGAUUGGCACUUAACACGCGAAGAGAGGAGAGAAACUGUUGAAACAGCCAGUAUCCGUUUUGAGCCUCGCUCUUACCUCAGGUUGACUUCCUAUGUGUGGUCAGUGAGCGUAUUGUUUUAUCGCUUCACUUGACAAUACAUAUACACCACUUGUUACCACCUGGGUAAAACUGAAAUGUCAAACGUUGAGCUUUUCUGGAAAAUGUCGCCUUUAAUUAAACAGAAACUGAGCCACAGCAGACUUGUGGCCAUGCAGCAGGUGAUGAGGUGAUACAGGGGAUGCUUUACACCCAAGCCACCAUAAUAAAUGUGCAUAACGCUUUCCUAGGCAUCUAUUAGACUCCCCAUUCAGCAGAAGGAGGAGGAAAAAAAUAAUAACAGUGCGGGCUAGCCGAGGGAUUCCAUCCUCAUUCAUUAAACAGUAGGGGGAAAAUGAACGCCAUGGUGACCAGACAAGGCAGAUGACGUCACAAAGCCGAGGUCACCAGUCUGUUGCGACCGUCUAGCCCCCAGUCGGCCCCUUGGGAUCUCCCUCACCCCCCCUUCAGCCUAUUGGUCCAAGCUAAGCUCUGUGGUCCUGGAAAUCAGAAUGAAAACAGUCAAAGAGUGCGGGGUGUCAGAAAUUUAUUCAUUCAUUUUAAUGAAACAUCAGCUACGGAAUGAAUUACAGCCACUGGAUAAAUAUAUACAUCUAAUUUUUAAAUCAAUGUAUUUUUGUGAGGAGAAGAUGAGAGGAUGCCUCAUCCUCCUCCUCGGGCUACAUACACAAAUAUCUGUGUUUUUGUGUUGCUGCAUGGGAACCUUCUCCUCUCUAAUCAAUUUAUUAUGAGGAACUGAAGUCCUCAUGUUUGUUCAUUUAACACAGAGAAAAUGAAAAACAACAUUUGUUUCUGGUACGGUGGGAUCCAGCUUGAGAACCAGGCAUGUUCUGUGAGGGAAAGGAAACGCAAGAGAAUAGGGGGAGAGAUUGAGGCACACAUAGAGGAAAAAAGAUCCCCACCCACUCCCUCUCGGUAUAAACAUAAAGGUGUAAUAUAAUGUGGCUUUGAGGAAAUAUGGCUUUAAUUGCAGGAGGGCGUAACAUUUAAUACGGCCUGUAUGACACCUGGCAAAAAUGGUUUACGCUCCGGACGGUGCCAAUUAUAAUUCAGCCAAUGAGGAAUCUUUCAUAAAUCCACCAACAUGCUCACUGCAAGCACUGGAUGCUUAUUUGACAAGAUGAGAUGGGGCGGGAUGGCGACAGGCGCACAUGCAGUAUAUCUUCUUUUUAAUUACAAUGUCUGCAGAGGUGGAACUCUGCUAUAAACAAUCAUCUGUGCAAUCAGACGCAAAAGCACUAACACUUAGCCUUAUAGCAGCUCGUUCUAAAAUGGAGAAACUGGAUUAUUUGGAGAAUGUUGGUCUCACUGGUCCAAUGGUAAUCUUAAUUAUUCUUUUUUUAAAUAUUCACGCAGACCAAUAGCUUAAAGCUGGGGCGUAUAAAUCUGCAAAUCAUCUAUCUUUUAUAUGCCGGGCAUAGCAGUGGGACAUCCUCAUUCAAUUUUAUAAUACCGAUCUAGCGGUGGUGUCGGUCAGAUCAGUGCAGAUAUUUACAGGCAUUCAUGAGAGCCAGAAACACUCCACUGAAUAUAUAUACAAGAUUAUCAGCAUUCUGCUGAAUUUAAUCAUAGAAAUAUUAAAUAUGUGCAUUUUUCACAGGUGUUAUUUAAAAACGUAGCCUUUUUUUUUUCUCCCCCCCAAGACUACAGGUGCUAACAGCACCAUGGCAUCUACCUUCUAAUACAACCUGGUAUAAUCUUCUCUUAUUAUGUGUAUUGUGUGUUUGCUACAAAAGCAAAUAAAAUGAACUAAAACGCUGUUCAGAUGUGUGCACGUCUCAAAAAGGACUAUGUGAGCCUAUUCUCACGCGGACUAGCCUUGCAUGAGUAAUAAAUACAUAUAAUAGCAAACACAAGGAUGUACAGUAUAUGUAGGCAUGCGGCGCAUACACACUGCACAGUGAUGCAGGAAAAGAGAAGAAAUAAAGCAGCAGAAGCUGAAAGAGAGCACACUUCAGAGGACUAUGGAGGCUGCAGCACUUAGAGGCCAUUUUAUUGCUUUGCUGUGGUCAAGUGAGGUGCACCGAGCUCAAUUCCACCACAACAAUGGCAAAGAGGGCCGCAGAGACAAAAGAGGGCUAUCCUUGCUUCUUAACCCCUUCACUACUGGCAGAUCAGUGGCCUACGACACUGAGCCAACAGCAUCAGAUGCCUCAGGGGAAGACAGUGGAGCGACAGCCACAUCCUGCACAAUCUACCUGCCUUAUUACAGCAGCUCCAAAGUACACAUAGCUACAACAGUUCGAUUUUUUUUUUCCAAAAUUAAAGUAUAUAUUUAACAAAAAAUCCUAAGAUAAUCUAUAAAUAUUUAGUAGAGGUCAGUUUGUUUUUCUGACCACCCAGGGACAGUAACUGAACCUCAGCUUCAUACCAAAAGCACAUCACAGCCUUCUCCACAUCUCUCCAUACAUGCCCCUCCCAGUCUCCUUUUCUCUCCUCAAACAGGGAACUACACAUUUGCAAGUGAAUUACUCUUUUUGUUAAGAUUUUUGUGCGUGUGUUUAAGAAAAAAAAAUUUGGGAAAGAGGGUGUGUGAGAAGGAGAAGGAGUGCUCCUGCCAUCGCCCUUUUCUUUUCUUCUCUCUAUAAUCCUGGGGAGGAUAAGCUGUGAGGUACACAGAGAGGAAGUGCCACAGACCUGCUGGGGUCCAGCACAUCCCAGCAGUGCAUUCCUGCAGCCGUGGCUUAUCAGACACACAGGGAUGGGAAAAACUGAACCAAUUCCAACCAAAGUUGCUUGGACAAGUUUAAAUUGGUAAAUAUGAAGUCAAAAACUGAACUCUGGCCUGGAUUCUGCAAAACACACACAAAAAAAAAUGAUAACCCACCCAACAUGAAAUAAUACAAUCUAUUUGUCUAUCUGCCUCAUUGAAAAUAAUAAGCACCCACAGGUUGUGACAGAGCAGUUAUAUAAAUACUGCAAGUAAAAUAUUAUUAUUACUACUUUAAUAUUUUUUUUGUAACAGUCAAAAUCUAAUUGUAAACGCGCACACACACACACACACCCACACACACACCCGCACGCACGUGCACGCACACAAACCAUGACGUUGCAACACUGAGUGACCCACCAAAAUAUAAUAGAGGUUAUCUAAAAAACAUGAGAAAUCUGACUGCAUUGGCCCAUCUUCUUCAAAACAUAUCCUAUUUCUUACAGGUUUACAAAGCAAUUUAUAUUCAGUCAGUCGAAUCUUUGUCUCUCAGAUGACAAAUACUAUGUUUUUCUCAAAAUAUAAAAAUCCAAAUGAUUUUUUUUUUCAUUCAUAAAGCAACAGAUAAUACGAAGCAUGAAAGCAAGAGCAGUGCAGCUGUGGCAGUGUCAAUUUGUUAAAGCUGUCACUCUCUCGAACAGCCGUAUGCGCGCUCGCACACACUUACAUUUGGGUUACACAAUGGAGAUUUCACAGACACAGAUAAACAAUGCAAGGGCAGUUAUCACUCCACAGAGCACAGUAACACAGAGGAAGAGGAAGAGCAUGACAAAGAAACAGGGGGAGGACAAAAAAGAUGGCGUGUGUGUCGUCAGAGUCACAGGCCAGAGGGGCCCGCACAUUGUUCCGCGGCUCGGCGUAGGGAGAAAGAGGCGACCUGGGCAGCCUCUGUCUAAGCGUCCUCCAUGUUUUAUGCAUUCUGUCCUUUGUGAUGAUAAGCACCAGCGCGGAGGGUGGAAUGUUGGCCUCUAGGGUCCAAAAAGAAGGGUGGGCUUAUGAGGAGCAGCAUGGGGGUAGAGGGUCGGAGGGUGGCCGGGAUGCAGCUCCGUUUUAAUUUUGCAGCCCUCAGAGCGUUCGCUGUCAUCCCUGCCUGACUGACAUACUGGCAUAUGCAGCUUCCGCAGACACAUCUCUGAGCACGAGAGCUAACCGCUGCUCCUGCUGCUUCAAACAGGAUAGAGUCAGCACACUGCUCUACCACAACACACACACACUCACACACACUUUGAGAAUGCUGCCAGUCAUGGAUGGACUUGCAUCACACAGGAAUUUGACUCACAGUCAGUAAAGUAAAACAGGAAAAAAACAAAAAAAACUGAGUUUAUAAGUGCGAUGACAGCAGCGUCUAAGAAAAAGCUUGGUUUGCAAGCAUACUAAUAAACCUAUUCAAGAAGUAACAUUCAACUCAAGGACACAAGAACAUAUUAUAAUGUGUUUCUCUCAAUACAACAGCUUUAAUUCAUUGUUAGAAAAGGAAUAGAAUUUUUUUUUAAAUAAAUAUUUCACGCAUUGUUCAACCCCAUUCUGUCACCUCGACAGCAUCCACGAGUGAAGAGUGAAGGGUGGAAAAAAAGAAAGCAUCUUUUGCUUUUAAGCUUCACCUAUUUUUCACAUUACAACUAGUAGACAAUCAGAAUGUGGUUGCUGCAUGACACCUAAAUUCAGCUUUGUCCUGUAAGCUUGCCAAAAUACUGAUAAAAACCACAAUUAUGCCAUGAGAAGACCUUGACAUAGCACACUUAAAAGGAAACUGAUUUAUUUACAAUGUCGGCAUACAAAUAAAUCCGGACGUUGCUGCUGCACACACGCGCGCGUGCGCACACAGGCUGUGACACAUGUGCAUCUUCUCAGUCAUAAAUCUUGUCUACCACAAUGAUUUAACCAAGAUUGUUAACACGAUAACAUGUUGUGAAAGAGCAAACCACAAGAAACCCCGCCAACUUCACUUCAGAAAGAUAAAAGACAGUCGACAGUGAGGAAGAAUAAAAAAAAAAAGAGGCGAACUCUAAAGGAAACAUGGAGGGGGGAAUUUUAGAAACAAGCAGAGGAUAGGGGGCUCUCUGCAGAUGAAGAGGACACUCUGGACUGCUGGGAUUAAGGAUCAGGUGGAGGAUUCAUUCACACUGUAAGCAUGCCUACAUAAACACACCUGACCAUCACAUCCAUCCCACUCACAGUGUUGAGUUGGGACCACCGGCACCCCCCCACCCCCCGAGCAGCUUGAAUCCCGUUCUGACAGCCAUGACGAGUACUUGCCGGACUCAGAUGCAGCAUGACUGGAAGAGUCGGUCGUAUUGAAAAGCAUACAUCAGAUGAAAAGCCCAUCAUCUGUGUCUGUCAGUCGCACUCAUCUAAACAUCCAUACGGCUAAUGGUGGAGACAAGACGCCUGCUCCGGCUUUUGGGUUUCAGAGAAUACACACUCGACACAAUUACAGGCAUUUUAUGAUGCUGUCUCGGAAGAGGGGAACUAAUUGGAAAUGACCUGCAAUUUAUUUAGAGAUAUUGGAAAUAAAUAAGAAAACAAAAUGGUGAAUUAAAACAAUUGUGUUAAUAAGUAAAAAAAAAGAAAAAAAGAAAAACACACUCUUUAUUUCUCCUCUAUGUGCAUACAUAUCUAAAUGCAGUUCUCACUGCUUCUUUGCUGAAUAUUCCACGUAUGCUCCCAGCCAGCUCCUCACCCAAAGAGGGCUCCCUCCGACCGAAGACGUGGCACCGAUUUCCCCCCACAGUGCCACAUCCCAAACACGAAGAGGUGGGAGUCGAGGAAGGGGAAAUAUGCAGAGAUGCCGAGAAUGAGAUAGGAAGAACGAGACGCACCGGUGUGGGGGUGUGUGGGGGUGUGUGCGUGCGUGUGUGUGUGUGUGUGUGUGUGGAAGCGAAGGGGUUAUGACAGCCAGAGGCGCUCUCUCCUUUCUCUGUGUUACCCCCCCUCCAGCUCUCCGCUGUCUCACGCCAAACCAAAGAGCAAGCCAAUCCGUGACGACUGCGGCUCCCCCCUUUAUCUCAUUUACCCAACUACUGGACGCUCUGUUCCCACUCAUACAGUUAAAUGGCAUCUGAAUUUUCUAAAUAUACCUCGCAUCAAAUGUUGCUACAGACGUGGGUCAAGUGCAAACGGUGGACAAUGCCGAAUCAAUGGUCACUGACGUUUCAACACAACGACCACGUUCCUCCCCACGAAAAGCAGCUACAACACCUCACAUCUGCACUUUAACGCAGCUACUAAACGCAGAAGAGCUGCAAACAAAGCUCCUCUAGUCAUUUAAAUAAAAAUGAAGAAUGUUGUCACAUGUACUUUACUCUGCAUCUUCAAAAAAAAUUGUGAGAUACGUGCAAUCAUGGACAUAUGUAAAAUAAAUUGAAUAAAUAAUUAAAACAUGCAAGGACAAAAUUAACCAAAAUGGAGGGAAGCAUGAAUGAGAAGUCCUUUCAUUCCCCCCUCAGAUUAAAAUGUACCAAAAUGUUGCUAAAUUACGUUUAAAUAAAAUUUGACUAUAACAAAUAAAAGACAGAAAAGUGAACGUUAAAAAACAUACCUAUUUUGGACGUAUUUAUUUUUCAAAUGCCUCUUUUAAAACCGUCACUGUCUAAUUGGAAUUCAGUGAAAAUAAUUCUGAGUUGAGGAUUCUGGAACUGCUGCCACCAACACCAAACAGAACACAUGGAUGUAUUUUGUGAAAAGAGAGUACAUGGAAAAAAAUAAGGCCCAUGACAUUUCCACACCUUUUCCUGGAACUGUUAUAAUUAAACAUAAAUAUGAGAAUGUGGCAAGACAGGAAAAAAAAACAAAAAAAACAGGCAGGUGCAAUGACAGUAAACAUUUUCUGCUGUCUUUGUUUUGUAACAGAGAAGGGAAAGAAGGAGGAGGAAGAUGGGGAGGAGGAGGAGAGGAGUGCUAUCCUGUCAAACGGUGCAGGAAGGGAGAUUAUUGGUGUUCUUUUUUUUGUUGUUUUUGUUGGGGGGUGGCGGGGGGUGAAGCGGCCUUCUUGUCCUACAGAGCAUCUAUAAGUUUCUGAUCGUGGCAAUCUGAAGUUCCCACUGCAGGCAAAUAAAGCUGUGAUGAAAAAGCCAGUGUCAGAAAAUCCAAAGAAGGCAGAACCAAAUUAUGAAAAGUCAUUUCGAAUUGUGACUAUUCUUAAGAGAGCCAGAAUCUUGCUUCCCUUUUACUCCUAUCUCCUGUAUGAAAAGCAGGGAUCUAUUUACCUGACCUCUUCCUCUAUGUCCCAUGGCUAUCUGACCUCUCUGCUCUCCCACCCUAACAGCCCUCCCCUCCUCUUCAUUUGUAGAUGGAGUUUCUCUCCCUGCUUGGUGAUUAAUUCUAUCAAAGCCGGCCCCAUUUUUGAUUCUCUCAUCAAUAAAUAAAUCCGUAAUCCCACAGAUGCUGACAAUAGUGAACCCCCUUUUUAUUUGAGUUCUACCUGCUCCGAAAAAUAAUAAUAGAAAAAAAAAAAAAAGACACACAACCCCUCCACCAACAACUCAGAUCAGCCUUUUUCUCCCAGCCAGACCCAACUCUCUCCCCAUUAUCCUCUUGGCUGUUUGCAAGGGGGUUUCCUCUCUUUCUUUUUUAUCUCUGUACUCACUCCAUGACCCCUGUUCCCCUGUUUCUUGCUGUCUGACCUAACCCCCCACCCCCACAUCCACACCCCUUGCACUCCCCGCAAACACACUCACAACUGCCACCCCACCACCACCUCACUCCCCUCAGCCUUCAGCUUUUACCCCAACAGUACCACUGUCUCUGUUCAUCGCAAGAAAAGAAAGAAAAAUGUUUCACCCUUUUUUCUUGUUUUUCUCUGGGAUAAAAAAAACCCCCAAUAAUCAUCGUUCUACUUUUUUUUGUUAAUCUGACUGUACUUCGAACCCUCCUUUCCAAAAAUGAUGUUUUAAUAUUACAUUUAUGCCGAUUUUUGCAUUUUAAUUACUUAUUUUUUCUAAUUAUUUUGUGAGGUUAUUGUCAAAAAAGGCCUCUUUCCCACUGCAGCCAGGUUUUUUUCCCCCAUUGCAUUUGUUCUGAUUUUGCGUAUUUUGGCAUUUUAUUCUAUUUUUUAUUAUUUUUUUAGAUAAACUGAUGCUGUAACUAAACGCCACCCGCGGAUGCAGCUUGGACCGCCAUCUAAAGUUUCCGAUGGUUACUUUGCAUUAAUUCUAACAUCCUAAGAUCAGAUGUAAAGGGCAGUAUUUUCUCUCCACGAGAAAGAAAUAUUCCCUUGAAAGUCAGAGUCGGUAGCCGAGUAUAGUUCGAGGGAGCAAAGCCAGCCUCCCUGUCUCUUCCCUGAACCCACAUGUCUGAUCCCUCGUCACGCAGCUCCCACUCGCAGCCUGUCCGUGUGCGGGGUCCUGCUGAUCCGCUCUUGUCACGCAGGAGACCCGGUGCUCCGUUUUUUCUCCCAACCCCAUCAACAACACCAACACCACAUUCAACUCAACGCCGAGCCCCCCUGAUGCACGCACGCACGCACGCACACGCAUACACACACACGCUUGUCAAUCGAUCUGCAUGUGACUUCGUCAGUGAAUGAGCGAGAAUCGAGUGAAAAACAUCACCGAAAGGAGGCAAACAGCUGUUGUAAAAUAAAAAAAGGGGCUAAAACACGGAGAAAGUGUUUGGGGGGAAAAAGUGUGCGGCUGACGGAGCUGAGGCUGGGCGGAGGGAUUGCACAUUUCACACAAGAGACGUUGUCGGAGAAGAACAAAACUGUCCUCAGCCAGAAGAGGAUUUUAUUAGAAAUCGACGGUGGCGAAACUCUCUGGAUGUGGAAAGUGUCAAAUCUGUUCAGAAAAACAGAGCAGAAAGCGAAAGAUGCUCCCCCUGUUUUCCCGGACGCCCACGGACCCACAGGCUGGACUUGGAGCUCCUUCCCUGGGCUGCGCUCAUGUGGAGCUGCCGCUGCCCCUCGUCCGCUCUGCACAGCUUUCCCCCCCACCACCUCCUUGUUGCAUUUGUGCUUUAAAACACGUCUCUUAACAACCAUUAGCCCUCCAUACCCAUUUCCCCGAUCCCACCGCAGAAAACAAAACACGAAUCUGUUUUUAAAACCGUGUUUUUCUACGAUCAACUGCUCUGGAGCGGAUCGCUGUCUUGCCCGUUUCUUAUCUUCCAUUCAUGAGAGGAGGAGAGGACGGAACGCUCAUGUAAACACAGAACAAGAGGUUAUAAUAAAGAACAAGAAACACAACUCAGACCAAAGAGUGCCUCUAAUUAUUAGACGUAAGUUAUAGGUUUUAUUGAUUUAGAACUAUAAAAUGCUAAACUUCAAGCUCUUGUCAUAUUUAUUAAAAUAAUAAAAUUUUGCCUUUAAAAUGAAGAAUUAGGUACAUUUUUAAAGGGAUGAUAAAAGCGUCUAUGAUUUACCUUUUACUCUCAGCUCACAGUACACGCGGAUUUUUGUUGCUUCACAACACACUUCUAGAAAGGAAAUAUCUCGCAGAUCUGACGGAAUAGAGCACAAUUUGAAAUAUUUGCUUUCAUUCAAAAAGUGAAAAAAAAAAAAUCACCAGAGCUGCUUGCAUUUGUACAGUAUGUCUGCAACUUCAGCUCGUCUCAGAAAUACCUGCUUAAGCUUCAGUGCAUUUCUUUCCCCCAUAAACGUGUUCAUGUUUCAAAUCAAAAUUAAGAAGAUGUGUGUAGCAAUAUUUGCAAAAAUAUGAAUAGAUUUGUUCUUACCAAGCACACCAGUGAAAGAAAGACUUGUGAGUGUAGGUGUGAUGAACCAGCAUGCCAUUGUGACAUCUGUUACCAAACUUGUGGGAACACGUUGUCAAUACGUGUGGGUUCAUGUAAAUAACAAUAAUAACUGUAAAAAAAAAUAUAUGCGUGACUCAGACUGAUCAGGACGUUUCUUGAGGUUCUGGUUGUAUGUUUUGGAUUUUUUUUAGAAGAGUGUUAGUGUCCACAUAUCAGUCUGAUAUCUCAUUAUAAGGUGAUCAGAACGUAAGCAAACUGAACAUUUGCAAACUUUUUUCUCGCAAACUAAGGACGUUUCCCCCCCCCACCCCCAGAUAGAUAUUGUAGUGGGGGGGGAGGGAACACUUGACUCUGUCAUUGCACUUUUUAUCAGAAUUUUUUGUUGGUUGUUUGAGAACGUGGACAACCCCUCUCUGUCUCAUUUCUACACACUUUCUGUGCAAACAGCUCUCUGUGCUGAGCCCAAGUUACUGCGAACACGGGCAGCAGCUUUCACAGAACGCCUUCUGCUGAUUGAAACAAUACGGAUUUGUUAGUCCGCGACCUCAACGUGCUAAAUUCCGAUGCAGAGUUAAUAGAUAAAAGAAAUACAUUGUCGUAUCUAGAUAUUGCCUGAGAACGAACCUAAAAACUCGCACUGUUUAAGAAAUCGUAACUGGAUUAAGAAAAAAUACCUGAUGUGUGUGUGUGGGUGGGUGUGUGUGUGUGUGUGUGUUUCAUAUUUGUGCCGGAUAGAAAUUCUUUCCGGUGUGUUUUUAUUUUAAGGCUGUACCGGUUGAAGACCUCCGUGAUGUUCUGCUUGAGAAGGAUGGCUGAUGAAAUAAAUAGACUAUAUUUUAUGUUCUCCAAGGCCCUUUGACUUAAAGGUUAGAGAGGUUAUGAAACCCCCCCACCCUCCCGGGAUGCGGCGUUUCUACGGAUCCGAUAGCAUAGGCUAUAUUCCUUUGAAGAGACUCAAACUUCUUACAUUGUAGCCUAUAUGGUCAGGACCCAACACCCCCCCCCCCACACACACACACACCUCCCUCACCCACCCUCUACCCCACCUUUUUCCAUCACAAUCUCCCUUUUUCCCUCACCCUUCCUCCCUCACUGUCGUCUCCUCUCUCUCCCUGCUGCUAAAAUAUAUGGUGAGCUGUAACACGGCAUUUCCUCGGCAGUCCACAAGCAGCGACAGCCACUGAUACCUGUUUUUAAGCAACGCAACAUCUGCUGUAUAGAAUGCCCCCCUCCUCAGAAAUAAAACUAAAUAAAUAAAUCGCUCAAACUGUUUGCAUUUUUUUGUUCUCCUCCCAGUCGCCGCAUGUGUGAGAGGCAGACUGCAGGAAUCUCGAGGAUUUGCGACGCAUCUGCUCUCUCGGGAAGAAGGAGAUUGUAAAAAUGAAUAGGUCGAAAAUAGCGUGCUAGUGGAGUUAAAGGGGGCUACCAGAUAAUAAAAGAGUCUGGUGUAAUUUGAGGCUUGCAUGGAGGCAGCUUUCAGCCAGUCGCUCGCUCAAAGCCCUGCAACAAUGCAAACUUCAGUUUACAAAUUAAUGCAGAGGCCUGAUUGACAUUACUCCAUCAGUGGCCAUAUUGAGCACGGUGCGGGCUAAAUCAAAAAAGGGAGCUGCCAGACGGAGGCCUUCAUGCUUUUAGGGCCUAUGCUUGAGUGAAAAGAGAAGAGGGGGUGUGUGUAGGGGUGGGGGGGCUGACAGGGUCUGGGGGCUUUUGUGUUGCCAGCAUUCAAUUGCGCCUCUCAGUGGGAAGGAUAACUGUCCACGUGCCAGCCUCAAUAGGCAUGCAUCGAUGAGUGGCAUUGCAAAUUCAACGCAACCUGUGGCUAUGACAGCCCGUGGAUGUGACAAAGAAAGCCAGAGUGGCUUGAAAUGCAAAGUGCUGCGUGGAGGCGAGGGCGCGUGGAAGUGGUUGACCAUCACCAGAGCUGCCAGAAACAAAAACAGCGCAUUCAGACGGAGGGCCAAGCCCCAUAUAAUCGCUCCUUGAAGAGAUGGGGGUGGGGGGGAGGGCUGUCGCAAGCAAGACGCACGUGCACGACUUGUCAGAAACAUUUAUUUUAAUGUUUUCAAAUUGAAUUACAAGUUAUUCUCUGCAGUGAGCCGCGGGCGCGCGCGCGCACGCACGCGAGCGUGCACGAGCGCGCGCAAUCCCAGACAAAGCACAAAAGGAAACAGAGGAAAUGAGCAGGGUUGAAAGUAUUUAAAGAUAAAAGCUGUGUUCGAGAAAAAGUCAUAUAACUUUAUAAAGAGAUAACGACUAAUAUAUUUCGAAGGAUUUGGGGGGAUUUAAGAUGUUCAUAGGCUGUAAUAUUAACGACUGCACGGUGUGAGUUGUAUGUUGAGGCUGUGGUAAACACAGAUGAAAAGGGCAUCACAGUUUCUUUAGAAUACACAGUGAGUGAGAUUAUACUCUGAAAAUAUUUAAAUUGGGAGAGAAUGAGAACUCUGUACCUGAUUUUAAAAACAAUAUAUAUAUAUAUAUUUUGGUGGGUUGAAGAAAACAUUUAUAAGCAUGUUACAUUCAGUAGAGCUAAUAACAGGAUGCUGGAACACUUUAACGCCUCGCUUUUGCUUCUCUUAGAGAUGCAAGAAAAAGGCGUCGCGCAUUAUUCUAUUUCAAUAAAGUUAGUGCGCACUUUCACUAUAGCAUCUUCAAGUACACGCAGCUCUUAUUUCCAUGCUGAUUUGAUUCGUCCUAUGUUUAAAUAUAUAUAUAUAUAUAUAUAUAUAUAUAUAUAUAUAUAUAUAUAUAUAUAGUUCCCUAUCGUCUAAAGCAGUUAAGACAGCACCGUUUACCCCCACAUCACACAUGGGAGCAUUGCGUCCGGCUCUCCCUGUGUCUGGGGUGGAUAGGGCAGCACAGCCAGGUGCAAUGGGAGCGCCCUCUUAUGUUCAGCCUGACCACUGGGAUCAAGCAGAGCAUCAACUGUUUCACAGCAAGUCAGGCGCCUGCGGACCAAGUGGUCUCUGCCAGAGCGCACCUUUACCUUUACCUGCCAACACUGUGCUGCGGUUCAAACCGCAUCCAAAAGGAGCUCACAUUUAUGUAAAACGUCACUCGGGUUGUCUGAUAAUAGAAGUUAAAGAGGCGAUCGUUUUGGGAAGUUCAAUGCUGUUUAAAUUCGCAUUUUUUUUCCAAAGAGGUGUGUAGAAGUUUCUGAAACUAUUCUAAUUAGUAAAGAGCAUCUUUUAGUGGAGGAAUGAGGUGUGGCAAGAGUCCAGCUUUGAUUAAACAUGAACUUAAACGAAAUAGGUGGGACUAAACUGCCAGCAUGACAGCAGCCGAUCCAGAAAUUAAAAAUAAUAUUAUUAAUAAUAAAAACACAAUUAGGUUUGUCAUUAUUUUAUUUUUUAUGAACAAACUUUUGUGGUAUAAAUAAAAUGUACGUCAGGUGAUGCAACGUCCAGCAUCAUGUUUCUAAGCCGGUCCCUUGUGGAUAGGGGAGACGUCGCUUUAACAAACCUGAGUUUUUAUUAUUUUAAAGGUAUUUCUUCAGUCUUAUUCUCUCAUAUAUCCCUUUACAUCCAUAGAUAUAUAUUUUAUUCUUUUUUGAUCUUCACGUUGUGCUCAGGUGGGUGGUUAGCAGAGAACCUUUCUGAGAGGAUACAAUGUACAAUGUUGUGAAUUUUUACAUUUGGCCAAAUGUUGCUUUUUCUGUAUUAAUAGUUUUUGUCCGUACUAUUCUGAAUGUUUUUAUCAGACCCUUUCAAUCAUUUGCUAAUUUUUGAUUAUGUUACAAAUGCACAGCCUUUCUUGUUUGCUUUUUUUUUUGUUUUUUGUCUUCUACUGUUUAUAUUUUCCUAAUCUGUUUGAAUUGUAAUUUGUUUACCUGUUUCGUAUCUUUGUGAAUAAGAUACUUUUGUUUCCUAUGAUGACUUCGUCUGUUCCCAGUUUAUUCAGAUGCACUUUGAUGCUGAUGCUGCCUUUGCUAAAUAUUGUUGAAAUAAAAUGUUCAUAUUAAAUUUUUUUUUGAAAAUUGA
This is a long non-coding RNA of Xiphophorus hellerii (green swordtail), 13713 nucleotides long. RefSeq lists it as uncharacterized. The transcript is spliced from 2 exons. NCBI's taxonomy places the organism in Eukaryota, Metazoa, Chordata, Actinopteri, Cyprinodontiformes, Poeciliidae. The record is from RefSeq and is a predicted model, not a curated record.